CCUACGGGUGGCAGCAGUGAGGAAUAUUGGUCAAUGGGCGCGAGCCUGAACCAGCCAAGUCGCGUGAGGGAAGACGGUCCUAUGGAUUGUAAACCUCUUUUGUCGGGGAGCAAAAGACGCCACGCGUGGCGUUCCGAGAGUACCCGAAGAAAAAGCAUCGGCUCACUCCGUGCCAGCAGCCGCGGUAAUACGGAGGAUGCGAGCGGUAUCCGGAGUUAUUGGGUUUAAAGGGUGCGCAGGAGGAAGAUCAAGUCAGCGGUAAAAUUGAGAGGCUCAACCUCUUCGAGCCGUUGAAACUGGUUGUCUUGAGUGAGUGAGAGGUAUGCGGAAUGCGUGGUGUAGCGGUGAAAUGCAUAGAUAUCACGCAGAACUCCGAUUGCGAAGGCAGCAUACCGGCGCUCAACUGACGCUCAUGCACGAAAGUGUGGGUAUCGAACAGGAUUAGAUACCCCAGUAGUC
Molecule: ribosomal RNA, 459 nt
Filed under: uncultured bacterium
Lineage: Bacteria
Description: partial 16S ribosomal RNA
Rfam family: Bacterial small subunit ribosomal RNA
Source: RNAcentral